This 1447-nucleotide long non-coding RNA is filed under the name Ursus americanus (American black bear). Its description in RNAcentral is "lncRNA (ENSUAMG00000016847.1)". The record is from RNAcentral. Lineage: Eukaryota; Metazoa; Chordata; Mammalia; Carnivora; Ursidae.
UGGCGAGAUGGCGUGGGGGGAUCGGAGUUAGAGGCAGGGAGGAGGGGGGGAAGUUUCUCGGGGGAGGCAAAAAAAAGUUUUCUCUCCUCUGCAAAAGGCGGGCAGGGCGCCCUAAGUCCAAGGACAAUCCAUGGAAGUGUUCGCUUCUUCACAAGUUGUGCAAACGAUUUGUUAGUUCAUGAGCCUAAUUAGUGCGGGGAUCACAUAAACAGCUUCCUCCGAAGCCUGGUAAAUGGCUUGAUGAUUGGUCGCUAUUACUCGCCCUGAGGUGGAAGGGGGGAGACUCUUUAAAGUGCGUCAGAGAGAGGCGAGCGCCUGGGAACCCGGAGGCCUGGAUCCCGGCCGAGUGUGGAACGGAGUCGGCGCCGCUGCCUCGGCCGAGCCUCCUGCGCCCGCCAGGCCCCCGGCCUCGCCGCGCCUUCUCCCCGCGCUCCAAGCUCACUCGCUCCCGCGGCGCCCGCUGUGGCUUCUCCUCCUCCUCUUUCGCCUCCUCCUCUUCCUUCGGCCUCCUCUCCUCCUUCUCCUCCUCCUCCUCCUCCUCUUCCUCCUUCUUCUCCUCCUCCUCUUCUUCCUCCUCCUCUUUCCCCACCUCCUCCCCUUCUGCCACCGCCUCCUCCUUCACCACCACCACUCCCUCCGGGGCAACCGGGUCCCUGCAGAGUCCCCGGCCCGCGCCGCCUCUGCUGCGGCCCCCUGGAUCCCGAACUGGUGGGACAGACGGACAGACGGACACGCAGAUCCCUCGCGCCCAGCUCUCGGUAGCUGCUGACCCCCGUGGCCCCGCGUCCGGGAAGCUGGGCUCGCCCCCGGAGCACCGCGAGGGUAAGCAGGCAGGGAUGGAUUCCGGGCGAGGGCUAACGGAGCUGUUCGGUUACAUCAGUCCCCACCUCCAGCGGAACUCCAGGCGGUUUCCCAGCGGUUGCAGUCUCCAGGCCUGGCUGCAUGGCGAGGCGAGGCGUCGGAACACGCACAGGAUGCCAAGCCUUCCAGAUGAAGAAUGGAUGACAGUGCCAACCAUGUGGACGUGGAGCUCCCCCAGAUGGGCUUUGGCACAUCUGGCCCAUCUGUAGUAUUUUCUCCAUCCAGGUGAUCCGUCUUGCCUCUGCCCAGCGUGGUGGAAAAUUGAUUCUCACUGUGGAAGCACGAGAGUUCCAUAUUUCUGCCCCUUGCUCUGAGCCCCGCUGAUUCUGAUUUAAGGGGCAGCUGCUCAGGUGUGCUGGGACCAAGAUAGGGUUUAUUUCAUUGCUCAUUUGCUGCCGGCGUCUUGCAUGAGAGACGGUCCAUUUCUAUCCCCGACGGCACCUGUGUCGGUAGGUGGUGCUAAGCAUCUACGACAAGGUUCUAGCUUGUCCGGUCCUCUCAGAAGUCCAUUGAACUACUCGGUCUAGUCCCACCUUCCAGAUGUGAAAAGUGAGACUCUGAAAUAAAGGGAUUCACCCCAAGGCCA